CCUACGGGGGGCUGCAGUGGGGAAUAUUGGACAAUGGGCGAAAGCCUGAUCCAGCCAUGCCGCGUGUGUGAAGAAGGCCUUCGGGUUGUAAAGCACUUUCAGUGGGGAAGAAAGCCUUGGGGCUAAUACCCUCGAGGAAGGACAUCACCCACAGAAGAAGCACCGGCUAACUCCGUGCCAGCAGCCGCGGUAAUACGGAGGGUGCGAGCGUUAAUCGGAAUUACUGGGCGUAAAGCGCGCGUAGGCGGUCUGAUAAGCCGGUUGUGAAAGCCCCGGGCUCAACCUGGGAACGGCAUCCGGAACUGUCAGGCUAGAGUGCAGGAGAGGAAGGUAGAAUUCCCGGUGUAGCGGUGAAAUGCGUAGAGAUCGGGAGGAAUACCAGUGGCGAAGGCGGCCUUCUGGACUGACACUGACGCUGAGGUACGAAAGCGUGGGUAGCAAACAGGAUUAGAUACCCGGGUAGUC
This 465-nucleotide ribosomal RNA is filed under the name Vreelandella stevensii. RNAcentral describes it as "partial 16S ribosomal RNA". It matches the Rfam family "Bacterial small subunit ribosomal RNA", at positions 338 to 795 of the family's 1533-position model. The record is from RNAcentral. Lineage: Bacteria; Pseudomonadati; Pseudomonadota; Gammaproteobacteria; Oceanospirillales; Halomonadaceae.